CGACCGGCGCACGGGUGAGUAACACGUAUGCAAUCCACCUGUAACAGGGGGAGUAACCCGGAGAAAUCCGGACUAAUACCCCAUAAUAUGGGCGCUCCGCAUGGAGAGUUCAUUAAAGAGAGCAAUUUUGGUUACAGACGAGCAUGCGCUCCAUUAGCCAGUUGGCGGGGUAACGGCCCACCAAGGCGACAAUGGAUAGGGGUUCUGAGAGGAAGGUCCCCCACUGGAACUGAGACACGGUCCAA
RNAcentral lists this ribosomal RNA (245 nucleotides) under uncultured bacterium. Its description in RNAcentral is "partial 16S ribosomal RNA". It matches the Rfam family "Bacterial small subunit ribosomal RNA", at positions 92 to 334 of the family's 1533-position model. The record is from RNAcentral.